Molecule: long non-coding RNA, 362 nt
Organism: Anthonomus grandis grandis
Lineage: Eukaryota; Metazoa; Arthropoda; Insecta; Coleoptera; Curculionidae
Exons: 2
Source: RefSeq, a predicted model, not a curated record
UGACGUACCAGCGAAAACUGCGCUAAAAUGUCUGGUAAUAAUUAACAUUUUAUCGACGUCAUACUUUGGUAUACUAAAUAGCUAUUCUAUAGUGUGUUACAUCAUUUCAAAAGGCAUACAAUUUACCAACCAAAGGUGUAUAAAAAUGACCUACACGCUGCAUUCCACGACCAAGAAAAAAAUCAGCACACAAAUUCAAUCAGCUGAACUCAAGAAGAACAAGGAUAGCGGAUUGGAUACGUUUUGGAAAAGGGCUUGUUGGGAAUGGAUUUACCCCACUGGUAAACAACAUGGAACUGGAAUAAGGAUUUAAAACAAUACAUUAUACAGGGUGUUAAUAAAGUAUACAGAGAAACUUUAAA